This 4431-nucleotide long non-coding RNA is filed under the name Gallus gallus (chicken). RNAcentral's name for it is "lncRNA (ENSGALG00010006550.1)". Lineage: Eukaryota; Metazoa; Chordata; Aves; Galliformes; Phasianidae. The record is from RNAcentral.
GUAGGCGCCGGGAGAGGGAGAUCCAACCAGCAAAGAAAAUGGAGCCUGAUUAAUGCGUCCGCAACACAAAAACCGGGCAGGGGCUGUCCUUUGUUUCUUUAUUUGUGACUUUGCAAUGUGGAUUUGAUUACAGCGCUCUGAACUCAGCAGAUUUCCUCCCCGCGCGCAGUGGAAAACAUUGAUGUCCUAUUUACAAAGAAUUUCUGGGAAGCCUGUUGCACAUACCGGUCUUUUCAGCAAGGAAGAAACUAAUCAGGGAGCCACAUCUAAAAGUCUUUGCUCAGACAGCUAACCAAAAUAAAGGAAAUUCAUGCUUGAAAUCUCUGUAGGCUAAAAAAGCGUACUCGGCCUGGUUAGAAAUCUGAGUUCCCAGUGCAGGCUGAAGAAAGCAAUGCCUUCACGACACAGCAGAAAGCCGUCCUGCCCCGAGGCUCUUCCUGAUGGAGCAGCAUCCCUACCCAUCGCCUGGUGCUCUGCGAGGGCUUCCAAUCGGAUCUGGCGGCUUUGUUCUGCUCGAUAGCGCCGUAAUGGGUCGUUUCUCCGACCUGCGCCGCGUGGGUAACAGAGGGGUCACGGAGGCUCCCACGUUAAGUCACCGGGGGUAGGAAUGAGACUCUAGAAGGCAGCUACACUGUUGCCAUUGAAGCCUGCUAGCCAGAGCUUCGCCAGCAGAGCUCAUUCGCUGGACUUCUUCCCCAGAGCACGUUUUUAUUCUCUUGUCGGCUUUUUGCUGCGUGUCUCUGUCUUUUUACGAGCAGCGCUGCAGGCUGUGCCCGUGACACUGCCUUCCAGCACCGCUCCUUCCGUCCGCACGGCUGCUCCGCGCACAUCUGCCUGCACUGAGCGUCGGGGGACGGAUUCCUUUCAGCUCCGUCCCUCCGAGAAACAACAUUUUGCCUUCUACUGCCCUGAGAUGAAUGAACUACAGAUUACUCCCACCAAGUUGUACUGAAACACUCUUGUAAUGAUACAAAAUACUACAAAAUACUGCACUGAAAGAAACCGGCCAGGCGCCAUGUAUACCAAUUCAAGCAUGGAGAAAUGGAGGCUGCUCACCAGUGGCUGGGUCUGCAAGAGACACAGCGCUGAUGCUGGCAAGUUUCAUAGUAAUGACUACUACAGACAGCUCUGGGUAGAUUUGGUAGUGGAUAACAGGUCACCACAUAAUUCCUUCUCCAGUAGGGAUCGUCUAGAUGAAAUAAAUAAGGAGUGAAGCUGCAUAUGGUUGCAAGAACAAUUUUCGGGUACCAUGGAUCAUGGAUCUCUCAUUUUUUUUUCUGGAUAUUCAAAACAAAACAAAACAAAACAAACAAAAAAAACACCAACCAAACAACAACAAAAAACAAAAACAAAAACAAAACAAAACAAAAAAAACGGAGGCUCUGAAAGCACCCCAGCCCCCCUGCUUCUCUCCUUAACUUCCUUAUGUCCUCAGCUGCAGUUAGGACUCUCCGGGGAGAACUUGUAUUCACUUAAUGCAGACUUGACUCAGCAAAAUGCGAUGAGGCACUGGCCAGACACUCGGUGAGUCCAUUUCAGAGAGCUAUGAGGGAACAGCCCUCUCUUCCUCCUCCUUAGGUGCCCCUGCAGAUUCCUGCUCCAGAAUUGGCUGGAUAACGGUACCAUUGGGAAACCCAUGAUGCUGACUGGACUGAUGUCAAGAACAGGAGAACCUACGUGAGAUGCCUGCAAGGUGUACAGCUGUAGGUGCCUCACGCUCUGCUGACAAGAUCCCUACCAGCUCCAAAGGCAGACUGAAGUGACUGUAGAGGGCUUUACAUGUGAGCUGGAGGCAGGCACCACUGGAAAGAGUCUGGCUCCAUUGCCUUUGCAUCCUCCCCUCCAGUAUUUAUGGACAUUGGUAAGAUCUUCCCCCCCACUUCCUUCUGGUCACCCCUGCACCUUUCUAGCUCUUCACCUGACCUAACCUGCAGAGCACCUGCAGAGCUUCAAGCAACGCUGUUCUCUACCUGUCCCCCACCUGGUUUGGGGCAUGCAGAAGAUGUCUUGGAAAUGCUGGGUGUAAUUCAUCUUUCAUCUGGAAGCACAGUAGUCACUGAGUUCCUCUAGGAUAUUAAAACCCAAGGUUCAAUUCUAUCCUCUCGUCAAAGAAAGUUGAAUCAUCAGCACUCAUAAGCUGAUUCACCUCCCUAAAGACAAUGAAUGCUAUUUGUUUUCUAUAUCAUAAUUUAAAAUAGUCAUUGAACUGGAGAAAGAUUGUUUUAUAGCCCAGUGGCCAGAACAUUCAUCCAAGGGGUGAGAGGAGCAGAGGGUAUUUCAUAGUACUUCUCUUGAGAUGACGCAGUCCUUGUCCUUCCUUUACUUACACUGUCAGACCACACCAAUAUGCGAGUACGAGAGUUCUUCAGAACUCCUCAGGCCCAGUGACAAAGGAUAUUGUCUGCCAUGGACAUUUCCAUUCAAACAAUAAGAAGGAUCUGAUAAAGGGAAUUUUCAAACCUCUGGGGUCUCGGAAACCACAGGACCACCUCUGCAUGCUCUGAUCUAAGCUUUUAAUACUUGGGUUACACAAACGUUUUCAAUUUGAUUCCGUAUAGAAUCGUUUAGCUUUUUAUUUCCAUGAGGGAAAAAAACAUAAUUAUUUGGAUGGAUCUGAACUACUUUUUUCCGUGUUUGAUUUUGCAACCAAAAAAUUCCUGAUAUGCAUAACACAUGAGAACUAUAAUUGCUUUCCAAUUCCUUAUCAGCACAUGAUCAUCCUCGCACUGAAACGCUACUCCCAGCUCCAGUACACCAACCUCCAACAUCUUUACACUAGGUUUUACACAGCUCUAAUGUGCCAAGGAUUUGAUCUGUGCAUUUGACUUUCAAUUAUAAUACUGUCCAUUGUAACACCAUAUGUCUGUAUCUACCAGACUGACCCUUAUGUUGCCAAAUAUGAGAAUCAGACCGAUUAAGUUGAGCUCACCAAUGCUUCAGCUCAAACUUCAGAGAGAAACUACUACAGUAUCUGUAUUUCUUCUUAUAGUAUUGAAUGACAAUUUGUUGAGAGCUUGUAAGCAAAAUUAGACUUCUACUUAUAUUCAUCGGCUUGAUUUAGUAGACUUAAUAUAUAUUCUCUUCUGGUUUCCUUUAUGUUAGUUCUGUAUAUUCAGAAUACAUGUUGCAAGCUCCAAAACCAUUACAGCUCCAAAACAACAGCUUCCCUGUAUGUACUGGUAAACAAUCCCUGCAGAAGUACUGCAUGCUUUGCAGUGACAAAAAAACAAAUGACAAACAAGACAUAACAGGUGAAUGGCAUCCAACAUUACCAUGCAUUAAAAAAGUGCAUGUAUAUAAGUAAGAAGAGAAUGCACUAAUAUAAUUAAGAAAUGGUCUUUUAACUUGGGAUUUAAAGAGCAGAGCGGGCCAGCUGUACAGAUAGCAAAAUGAAGAAGAGAACUCCACACGAGAGCCAAAUGAGCAAUCACACAAACCUGCGAGGCAGCAAACUGCACAGGGGGUGGGGAGCAGAACUAAAUCAGAAACAGAGAGUAUGUUGCAGAAGGAAAUAAACGUGAACCAUAUGGAAGAAUAUUCACAACACAUUAGUGUUUAAUUAGAUAAUAUAAUGGAUAAGGACACUUCUGCAGCGUCAUCAUAAACAAAGAUGAAUGGAAAAUGUGCUACUAAUAAAAACGGGUAAUGCAACUGCACUACAACUGUAAUUUGAUCAGUCACAAAUUUAAAAUAAAAAUAAUAUUUUGAUAUGAUAUUUUGCUACUGCAUCUAGUCGUAGAAAAGGAAGCACAGAAGCAGACAUUCUCAUCUGAGGUUCCAGAUACUUCAAAAGCAGAGCAAAAAAGUCCCCACAACUGCUUGCAAUCUGACCCUUGCACCCAGACUGGCAUCCCCAUGUCAUUGUGAACACACACAGGGCGCCUUUUGGAGAAAAAGCAUGGAACGGCCCUUCCAAUUUUCUUCCUCUUCUAAACUAUGACUUAACUGCGUGAAGGCUCUAAAAGAGAGAUAACAUCUGAAGUUAAUAUUAGCAUAGGAAAAUGAACCUGGAGGCCCUAGAUUUGUUUUCGUGCAUUUACUUUAUACGGCAUGCCAAGCUGACAUAGGUAACAGCACAGGUUAAUUGCUUCUGAGAGAAUAACAGAAGGCAACAAAUAGAGCAAAAGGAGAGUGAGAGAAACAAAAUGUUUUUUGAAGGCCUUUGUGAUCUUAACAAACACUUCUGAACAAGGAUGAUUUCUGAAAAGUCAGUCGCAUGCAUGCAAGUCAUCAUAGCUAUAUAUAGCUGCACACACACUGAUGUUUGGUGGCAGCUUACAUCCUUAUGUCUCUCAAGCAGGAUCAGUCUUUUCAAGUUGUGCAUGUCAAGAUGAUUUAUUAGCAGUCAGAGCUUCAAGCUUUAAAUGAAUAAAUAAAAUAUGGUAUAGAAAUAAUAAAAAAUAGAAGAUGAGUACAAAAGAAUGAUUUCCC